Molecule: long non-coding RNA, 1343 nt
Organism: Cavia porcellus (domestic guinea pig)
Lineage: Eukaryota; Metazoa; Chordata; Mammalia; Rodentia; Caviidae
Exons: 3
Source: RefSeq, a predicted model, not a curated record
AGUGAGGCAUUAGUAUUCUCAGGGUAACUUCUGGAGGCUCUCAGUUAAUUGUGUUCUACUCAGUGGGGUCUUUUGGAAGAGUUGUGAGUGACAAGUCUCCAUGGAUGCCCCAAGUGAAUCAUGGAAGAGCUACAAGUCAGGCCGGUGGCUGUGGAGGAGGGAGGGAUGACUCCUGGGCAGCAAUCCCACUGCAGAACAGAACCAUUGUGGGUUUCUCCUGAAGCCAAUAUUCCUUAUGCCAACUUCUCUGCAUAAAUGACAACUCUGAAAUGUUUUGAAGAGAGCAUUGUGAAGGAGGUUCUUCAUGGUUGAUUUUAAUGCAAAGAGAGCUACCCAUGCUUUUUGCCUCUACUUCUCUCUCUUAACAGCAGGACCCAAUCUUGGAUGGUGAUAGAACCUGUGGAAGAGUGCUUACCUACAGUCACCAAGGUCCUAAGUUGAUCCACAGCAUACCUGCAAAAAGCUGGUGGGGGUGGAGUCUGCCCAAUCCACGAUGCCUGAACGCGUGUUUAAUCAUUAGUUCUUCUCAUGCUUUUCUGCUCUGCCACAAUUUUUCAGUCUCUCCUUAUUUCAGUGUACCUUAAUACUUUGGAGAUUAUUAGCAAGUAUGAUAUAGAAUGUUUUUCAACUUAAAUUCUCUGUUUUUUCAUGAAUAGACACUAAGUUUCAAGAGGAAAAAGCAGCUGAGGUAAGGUAUGCAUCUCAGAACAUCCCUGAACUGCGUUGGAGCAAGACACAGAAUGGCAGAAAGUUCUACUGUGUUGCCUAGUACAAACCCGUGAUAGCUUGCAAGUAGAUAACUUAUAUUGUUUAAAUAGUCGGGGUGUGGUACACAGCUGUAACACCAGCAUUCUGGAAACUGAGGCAAGGAAAAUUUCAAGUUCAAGCCCAGCCUGGGCAACUGAGUAACUUAACAAGACCCUGUCUCAAGGUGGAAAAAAAAAAUAGUGAGGAUAAUUAAAUGUAGCUGUGUGUAAAAGCUCUGAGCUCAAUUCCUAGUACAAAAGUUGGGGAAAACCAUUAAAAAGUAAUUAUUAGCAUGAAGAUUCAGUUCUAAAGCUAUAUCUUUUGCUUUGAUUGAGAAUUUAACCAAAAGAUCACAAUACUUUGUAAUCAGUUAUCAAGUGUUUAUAUUUCCUUUAAAGAAACAGUAUUAAUGAACAAUUGUUUGACUUACUUACCGUUAGUUCUAAAAUUUAAAAAUAAAUUUUUAAAAUACCUCCAUAAUGACACUACCCUCACAAACUUACUGCUUGUGUAAAAGAAGGUAUAGAGUAAUAGAUAAUAUGCUCAUGAAAACAGCAUACAAUCGUAAGGGUGCAUGGCAGGUACAAAUGUUGGAA